Mustela erminea (ermine) is the source of this 723-nucleotide long non-coding RNA. RefSeq lists it as uncharacterized. The transcript has 3 exons. The record is from RefSeq and is a predicted model, not a curated record. Lineage: Eukaryota; Metazoa; Chordata; Mammalia; Carnivora; Mustelidae.
CGUUAGCUGAAAAAUCUGAUUUGUACCCUGCUACAAAGCAUUCCAUGACUGAAAUCUCGCAAUUGACCAGUCGAUGUCUUGUAUUUCCGACAAUUCUGUCACCUUCGUGGCACCUAAAUGGUCCUGUAGACCAUUGCAGGAGCCCACAGAGAGUCCAUGUUGGGAUGUUGGGAGGUGGGGGGCGCCUUAGAGCAGACGCUGUGAUUGGAGGAGCUGGAGAUGGGGAAGGACAUGUGGACUGGCUUUGGUUUUUUCAAAGCUAUCAACACCGGGCAGGGGAGAGCAGAGUCAGAGAAGAGGGAGCUCUCAGGUAGCAAAGAGCCACCUGUGAGAUGGAAAACCUUUCAGGGAGCUCUCUCACAUCUGCUGUUCAUGCUGCUAUAGCCUUGGCUUUGCCUGGUGUCCAGGAGGAAGAAAUUACCAAGAUCUCAACAUUGCAGUUUUCAUGGAGUGAUCGUCAAAAUCGGAAGGAACCUCGGAUAUCUCCUGGCUCCAGCUCUCUGUUUCUAGAUGAUUUUGAUUUGGAGAGAUGGGAAAGCAGAUCUGUCUGACUCUGAGGAUCUCCACAGUGGUGGAGGGUCCUGUUGAUUACAAAGUGCCUUCUGGAGACUUCUCACCACCAGAACUGUUCAAGUUCUGCUCCAACUGAGAGCUGAUUUGUUUACUCUUAUUAGUUUUAUCUGGUUGAAGCCUUCCUUGCCCUGCUUUUUUUUUUUUUUUUUA